Molecule: ribosomal RNA, 468 nt
Filed under: uncultured bacterium
Lineage: Bacteria
Description: partial 16S ribosomal RNA
Rfam family: Bacterial small subunit ribosomal RNA
Source: RNAcentral
GACGAACGCUGGCGGCGUGCUUAACACAUGCAAGUCGAACAGAAAGGCCCUGCUUUUGUGGUGUGCUCGAGUGGCGAACGGGUGAGUGACACGAGAGUAACCUGCCCUUGACUUUGGUAUAACUUCAGGAAACUGGGGCUAAUACCGUAUAGGAGCUCCUGCUGCAUUGUGGGGGUUGGAAAUUUUCGGCGGUUGGGGAUGGACUCGCGGCUUAUCAGCUUGUUGGUGGGGUAGUGGCUUACCAAGGCUUUGACGGGUAGCCGGCCUGAGAGGGUGACCGGCCACAAUGGGACUGAGGUACGGACCAGACUCGUACGGUAGGCAGCAGUGGGGAAUAUUGCACAAUGGGCGGAAGUCUGAUGCAGCAACGCCGCGUGCGGGAUGACGGCCUUCGGGUUGUAAACCGCUUUCGCCUGUGACGAAGCGUGAGUGACGGUAAUGGGUAAAGAAGCACCGGCUAACUACGUG